AACGCCAGUCUCUGAGAACAAUAUCCAGCCUUGUACAAUAUUGCACGCGAUAAAAAUAAUACUAUUGCGCAGGUGCUCAGCUCAUCACCGCCGAAUCUUUCAUUCAGGCGGGAUUUGAUUGGCACCCGACUUACGUCAUGGCAUAAUCUCUUAUCUCGUUUGGAUUCAAUUAACCUGACACAAGGUGGGGACGUGUUUCGCUGGAACCUUACUACAUCUCGGUCUUUUACAGUAGACUCUAUGUACCGUGCGUUUACGCAUUCCGAGGUAUCAAUGAGUAAUAGCAAAAAAAAUUGGAAGGCGAAGAUUCCACUUAAAGUCAAAAUCUUGACGUGGUAUCUUCGUAGGGGAGUUGUGCUAACCAAAGACAACCUCGCACGACGCAACUGGCAAGAAAGUAAGAAGUGUUGUUCUUGUACUCAUGAUGAGACAAUCAAACAUCUCUUUUUCCAAUGUAAGUUUGCACGUUUUACAUGGUCAAUCAUUCAAAUAGCGUCAAAUUUGUAUCCGCCCACGAGUGUUGCCACUUAA
RNAcentral lists this ribosomal RNA (531 nucleotides) under Triticum aestivum (bread wheat). RNAcentral's name for it is "partial small subunit ribosomal RNA". Lineage: Eukaryota; Viridiplantae; Streptophyta; Magnoliopsida; Poales; Poaceae. The record is from RNAcentral.